RNA transcript from Pan troglodytes (chimpanzee), 4936 nucleotides. It is a transcript of the gene named TATA-box binding protein associated factor 4b, with no coding region annotated. The record is from RefSeq and is a predicted model, not a curated record. NCBI's taxonomy places the organism in Eukaryota, Metazoa, Chordata, Mammalia, Primates, Hominidae. The transcript is spliced from 16 exons.
GGGGAAACCCGGGGCGGUGGCGGCGGCCUGGGCGCGUGCGCGAGGUCUCCGCGUGGCUAUAUAAACAUGGCUGGCGUGGCCGCGCGGCGGGGCCGUGCCAAUCGCGCGUAGGGGGCUGUGGGCGCUCGGGGUUCGUAGUUUUGAAAUUUCUGGCGGGGGAGCAGCUGCACAGUUAGGCUCGAGGUGUGAGCGACGACCUUCCGGGAGCCGCAAGUCCAGGCUCCCCCGCAGCGGGACCCGAGCCUGAGGCGCAGGGCUGAGGCAGCGCACGUGUGAGCGCCGCUGAGGAAGCUGCGAGAGGUCGGGCGGGUGUCGCUCCGGGGGCAGCCCAGGCUCGCGCGGACGAGAGGAAGGUCCGGGACGCGCGUGUCCUGCCGUGCAGCCGGCGCCCGUCACUGACUUCGCUGCUGCGGCCCCCGCGCCUCUCCCCAGCGAUGCUGUGGAGCCCGAACCGCACCGGAGUCGGCUGCCGCGCGCCAAGCCUCCCCUCACCUCUGCUCCCGGAACCGCAGCGCCGCAGCUGCCGCUGAGCCCCUGGGGGAUGCCCGCCGGCCUCACCGAACCCGCCGGCGCCGCUCCCCCGGCUGCUGUGAGCGCCUCGGGGACCGUGACCAUGGCCCCGGCCGGGGCGCUGCCGGUGCGGGUGGAGAGCACUCCGGUGGCCCUGGGCGCCGUGACUAAGGCUCCUGUCAGCGUCUGCGUGGAGCCCACGGCGUCCCAGCCCCUGCGGUCCCCCGUGGGGACCCUGGUGACCAAAGUGGCUCCGGUCAGCGCCCCUCCUAAACUCAGCAGCGGCCCUAGGUUGCCUGCUCCUCAGAUAGUCGCCGUGAAAGCCCCCAACACCACGACAAUCCAGUUUCCUGCUAAUUUGCAGCUUCCUCCAGGAACCGUUUUGAUUAAAAGUAACAGUGGUCCGUUGAUGUUGGUAUCUCCUCAGCAAACUGUAACAAGAGCCGAGACCACAAGUAACAUAACCUCAAGGCCAGCAGUACCAGCGAAUCCUCAAACAGUCAAAAUCUGUACAGUGCCGAACUCUAGCUCACAAUUAAUCAAGAAAGUGGCAGUGACACCUGUUAAAAAAUUGGCACAAAUAGGAACUACUGUGGUAACCACUGUUCCGAAGCCUUCCUCAGUACAAUCUGUGGCUGUGCCAACCAGUGUCGUCACAGUUACUCCUGGAAAGCCAUUGAAUACUGUAACUACCCUGAAGCCUUCAAGUUUGGGAGCAUCAUCCACUCCUUCAAAUGAGCCCAAUCUUAAAGCAGAGAACUCAGCAGCUGUUCAGAUUAAUCUUUCUCCGACAAUGCUAGAAAAUGUGAAGAAAUGCAAGAACUUCCUUGCAAUGUUAAUAAAACUAGCAUGUAGUGGAUCACAGUCCCCAGAAAUGGGGCAAAAUGUGAAGAAGCUGGUGGAACAACUUUUGGAUGCAAAAAUCGAAGCAGAAGAAUUUACUAGGAAACUGUAUGUUGAACUCAAGUCUUCACCUCAGCCUCACCUGGUUCCUUUUCUUAAGAAAAGCGUGGUUGCCUUACGACAACUUCUGCCUAACUCCCAGAGCUUCAUCCAGCAAUGUGUUCAGCAGACUUCUAGUGACAUGGUCAUUGCUACCUGUACUACAACAGUAACAACUUCUCCUGUGGUGACAACUACAGUGUCCUCAAGCCAGUCUGAAAAGUCAAUUAUUGUUUCUGGAGCAACAGCACCCAGAACUGUGUCAGUGCAAACUUUGAACCCACUUGCUGGUCCAGUGGGAGCAAAAGCUGGAGUUGUGACACUUCAUUCUGUGGGCCCAACUGCUGCAACAGGAGGAACAACAGCUGGAACUGGUUUGCUUCAGACUUCAAAACCACUUGUGACAUCUGUACCAAACACAGUGACCACGGUCUCACUGCAACCUGAAAAGCCAGUUGUCUCCGGAACAGCAGUAACACUGUCCCUUCCAGCAGUAACUUUUGGAGAAACUUCAGGUGCAGCUAUUUGUCUUCCAUCUGUGAAACCUGUUGUUUCUUCUGCUGGGACCACAUCUGACAAGCCUGUUAUUGGGACUCCAGUUCAAAUCAAACUUGCCCAGCCGGGCCCUGUCCUUUCACAACCAGCUGGGAUUCCACAGGCAGUUCAAGUCAAGCAACUAGUAGUUCAGCAGCCUUCAGGAGGCAAUGAAAAACAAGUGACCACAAUUUCACAUUCCUCAACAUUGACCAUUCAGAAAUGUGGACAGAAGACGAUGCCAGUGAACACCAUAAUACCUACUAGUCAGUUUCCUCCAGCUUCCAUUCUAAAGCAAAUUACUCUGCCUGGAAAUAAAAUUCUGUCGCUUCAAGCAUCUCCUACUCAGAAAAAUAGAAUAAAAGAGAAUGGAACAUCAUGCUUCCGAGAUGAGGAUGACAUCAAUGAUGUGACUUCUAUGGCAGGGGUCAACCUUAAUGAAGAAAAUGCCUGCAUCUUAGCAACAAACUCUGAAUUGGUUGGCACACUCAUUCAGUCAUGUAAAGAUGAACCAUUUCUUUUUAUUGGAGCUCUACAAAAGAGAAUUUUAGACAUUGGUAAAAAGCAUGACAUUACAGAACUUAACUCUGAUGCUGUGAACUUGAUCUCCCAAGCAACACAGGAACGACUACGAGGCCUUCUAGAAAAACUGACUGCAAUUGCUCAGCAUCGAAUGACUACUUACAAGGCAAGUGAAAAUUACAUCCUGUGUAGUGAUACCAGGUCACAGCUCAAAUUUCUUGAAAAGCUGGAUCAAUUGGAGAAGCAGAGAAAGGAUUUGGAAGAAAGAGAAAUGUUACUUAAGGCAGCCAAGAGUCGUUCUAAUAAAGAAGAUCCAGAACAACUGAGAUUAAAGCAGAAAGCCAAAGAGUUACAGCAAUUGGAACUUGCACAGAUACAGCAUAGAGAUGCUAAUCUCACAGCUCUUGCAGCUAUUGGACCAAGGAAGAAGAGACCACUGGAAUCUGGAAUUGAGACUCUGGGCCCUUAACCACAUUAGUAUUCUUUGUGAUUUCUAAUGUGACCAGAAAUCAGUCCUAGUCAACUCUGGGGAAAGGACUUGGUGAGGCAGAGGAAAAUUAAAACUGAUGGUGAAAAAGCAGGGCUUAAAAGACAACCUUCUUGCUUCUGGGACAUCCAGCCUGACAGCCACCAAACAGUUGCAUCGUCCAAGAAUCACGAGAAUCUGCCUCAGGGACUUGAUAUUUUGUAUGGAACAGGAACGGGAGAUGAAGUAUUCUCGAGCUCUAUACCUGGCCCUUCUGAAGUGACCACUCCACUCUUCCAUCCAGAUCCUUGCUAUUUACUGCCAAAGAAGACACAAAGAGCAUUGUUGCACUGUCCUGAAAUUUCAAUUUCUGGAAAAUAAUCACCAACAUGAAAGAGCAUUGUUUACAGUUAGAAACUUUAUUAACUCUUACCUAUCCAUCUCAUGGGACUCUUACAGACUCAGAUUCAUCUUUGUCUUCUGAAAAUCAGUUAUGAAAUACACUUUGCACAGAAUUAGGCAUCUGCCUAUCUGUGCAUUAAAUUAAAGCAAGUUAAGGCCCUAUUUGUUACUACCUGCCUCAUUUGCCAAAUUGUAGCAGGUGAGGUGUCCUUCCCUAAUACAGCAUGCAUUGAGAUGCAGGAGAAAGGAAGAGGCAUAAGAAAAUACAAGAUUGACUAUUUCAUUCUAUAUUGAACCUGUCCCAAAGUGGUAGGUUUUCUGGGCUGGAAUCAGAAGUUGCUUAGCUAACUAUGACAGUCACCUUCUGUACGUGACAGGCCACUGUGGUGACUUUGGUCGGCUGAGUUCCAGUGUUGUCAAAACAAGACAAAUGGGGAUAGAUUGUGCCUGGGGUUGCUAAUUCUCUGCUUCAUAUCACCAUAUGCCGUUUCUGGUACCAAGUGAGGGGACAUGCUUGUCAGGGAAACCUUAAAAUUGAAUCUACUGAUAUAUCUUGUUGAAAAAAUGGAAAAGGUGCAAAGUAUUAGAAGGAACGUUAGGGCGUUGCUUUCAAACUGAUGAGGGGAAUGUGAAAAUGGUAUCAUAAAACAGGAAAUGUGCUUCAUAUGCCCAAGAGGGGAAGAGGUAGAAUCGGAACUCCAAAACAACUGGUACAUGUUUUGUUGAUGGGCAAAAAAAAUCACAGCACAACCAGAAAGGAGAAUGUACCAGAUGUUUUCAAAUUAGAGUAUUUCAAAAGGAAAAUGUUAUUUUUUGUUUUGUAUUGUUUUACAUCCCAAGAAGGAUAGUUUUUAUAGUUCCUUCUGUCAUAAUAUAUUUUAGUUAUCCUAAUUUUUAAGCAUGUUGGCACAUUUAAAAAAUCCUAAUUGAUGAUGAGAAAUUUUUAACAAUAGGACUUUAUGUUGGAUUCUGUACUUAAAAGGUACUGUCAAUAUCUCACUCUUGGGGAUAUGAGCUCUAAAUAUGAGAAGCAAGUUAUAUGUGUUCACCUGAGGAAGAAGCUGACGGACAAAGCAAACCCUCUUUAAAAAAAAAAAAGAAAGAAAAUUCCACGUGUGUGGAAUACAGCCGGUGAAAAAUAAUCACUGUAGUUAGAAUCACAUACAGAAAAAAGUGAUUGAAUCCUCCAAGAAGGUAUUUCAAAAAUGGGAAAUGCUAUACUUAUAAGAAUUGAAGGGAAAAAAAAAAAACACCUCACGUAUGUUAUUCUUCAUCCUGUUCUUCCCAUUGGGACUGUUAUGGCCAUAUUCUACAGUAUAGUAAAUUUUAAAUUGGCCACAUUUUUUUUUGUUUCAGCAAGUUAUGUAAAAUGCUAUAAAUUAUGUGUAUGUUAAAGGAGUACUUUAAGAAGAGAUCUUUAUCCAAAGUUGUUUUUGUAUAUUUAAAUGCUUACCUUUAUUUUUUGUAAAGUGCAGCAUACUCAUUUGUGUAUAAUCUUACUGAUCAGAUGUUUAAAAUUAUUUCAAAUACUUCAUUAAAAUAAUUAUUUUAUUAUAAGAA